Molecule: ribosomal RNA, 251 nt
Filed under: uncultured prokaryote
Description: partial 16S ribosomal RNA
Rfam family: Bacterial small subunit ribosomal RNA
Source: RNAcentral
ACGUAGGGUGCGAGCGUUAAUCGGAAUUACUGGGCGUAAAGCGUGCGCAGGCGGUUCGCUAAGACAGGUGUGAAAUCCCCGGGCUUAACCUGGGAAUGGCGCUUGUGACUGGCGGGCUGGAGUACGGCAGAGGGGGGUGGAAUUCCACGUGUAGCAGUGAAAUGCGUAGAGAUGUGGAGGAACACCGAUGGCGAAGGCAGCCCCCUGGGCCGAUACUGACGCUAAGACGCGACAGCACGGGGAGCGAACGG